ACUACAACUACCUACAGCGGAUUCCUCUUCGGUGAGAAACAAUAAGACGCUUAAUAGAUUAUUCAACAUACAUCCAUCACAAAAAGUUGUGUACUUUAUAGCUCAUCAAGUUCCCCCAUUUUUCUUCGGGUGCCAAUAGAUAGUUGAGAACACUUGAGUUUUCGAGAUUAGAGAGAUCAGCAAACAUAUCUCAGAUGUCAUUGAUAUACGCAAUAUUUACGACGUUGGAUGAAUUCGAAAGUUGGAGUUGCAGGGAGAAACCUCCAAUUGGGCGAUGCAAAAUGGAUUGAGUGAGGAGUCGGAGGAUAAAGCUAAAGACGCCCUUAUAGUAUCCAUCACCUUCACAUCGCUUGCGGUGUUUUUUGUAUCCGCUCGUCUUUACACACGGGGAUUUUUGGUGAAAA
RNAcentral lists this small RNA (404 nucleotides) under Histoplasma ohiense. RNAcentral's name for it is "hypothetical lncRNA". Lineage: Eukaryota; Fungi; Ascomycota; Eurotiomycetes; Onygenales; Ajellomycetaceae. The record is from RNAcentral.